GUUGUGCACUUGAUUAUAUGAGUUUGUUAGAAAAACCACUUUCCUUUGCUCCUAGCGCCUUCUCGUUCGCUGUAUAGCGUUUUGAGCGGAUAAAGAGCACAAGUGUGUAAGGAGACACAGGAUGAAUGGGAACUAGUUUUGUAAUUGUACUUUUGAUGAAAAGUCACUUUCUAGACAUAAAAUGUCACUUUUUUCACCUUAUCAUACUUUUUCAUCAACUUUUGCAUUUUAAUGUAAACAAUCAUAUUUCGUAAUAUUUUGGGUCAGAAACAUUUCAUAGUACUAUAUUAUGUCUAACUAUGUGAAAAAUAUCAAAUUGGAGUAGGUCAGUGCAACUGAUUAUAUGAGUUUGUUAGAAAAACCACUUUCCUUUGCUCCUAGCGCCUUCUCGUUCGCUGUAUAGCGUUUUGAGCGGAUAAAGAGCACAAGUGUGCAUGGAGACACAGGAUGAAUGGGAACUAGUUUUGUUAUUGUACUUUUGAUGAAAAGUGACUUUCUAGACAUAAAUUGUCACUUUUUUCCCCUUAUCAUACUUUAUCAUCAACUUUUACAUUUUAAUGUAAACAAUCAUAUUUCGUAUUAUUUUAGGUCAGAAACAUUUCAUAGUACUAUAUUAUGUCUAAAUAUGUGAAAAAUAUCAUAUUGCAGUAGGUCGGGCAAUUGAUUAUAUGAGUUUGUUAGAAAAACCACUUUCCUUUGCUCCUACCGCCUUCUCAAGCGCUGUAUAGCGUUUUGAGCGUAUAAAGAGCACAAGUGUGUAUGGCGACAAGAGAUAUGUGGGAACUAGUUUUGUUAUUGUACUUUUGAUGAAAAGUGACUUUCUAGACAUAAAUUGUCACUUUUUUCACCUUAUCAUACUUUAUCAUCAACUUUUACAUUUUAAUGUAAACAAUCAUAUUUCGUAUUAUUUUAGGUCAGAAACAUUUCAUAGUACUAUAUUAUGUCUAAAUAUGUGAAAAAUAUCAUAUUGCAGUAGGUCGGGCAAUUGAUUAUAUGAGUUUGUUUGAAAAACCACUUUCCUUUGCUCCUAGC
Molecule: long non-coding RNA, 1032 nt
Organism: Ictalurus punctatus (channel catfish)
Lineage: Eukaryota; Metazoa; Chordata; Actinopteri; Siluriformes; Ictaluridae
Source: Ensembl